RNAcentral lists this long non-coding RNA (860 nucleotides) under Vulpes vulpes (red fox). RNAcentral describes it as "lncRNA (ENSVVUG00000016826.1)". The record is from RNAcentral. Lineage: Eukaryota; Metazoa; Chordata; Mammalia; Carnivora; Canidae.
UAGCAUAGAUCUCAAAGUUCUGUAAACUAUUGUACAUCAUACUAAAGCAGUGAAAACUUCAGCCCCCCCCCACCUCAAAGCUAAAUUAAUCCAGAGACUGAAUCUCAUUAUGUCACAAUGUAUGUUCCAGAGCAGAAUUUCUUUGAUUCUCUCUAAAAUUACACUUGAGCUAAAAGGCAUCAUCGCAAUCACAAAAUCUCCUAUCCUGGAGAAAGCUACAAUCUGAGAAAGGAUGCAGGUGUCCUUACGUUGACUAGGGCUCUCGGGACUGGACGAAGAACAGCUGAUCUUGGCUCUGGGCUACAGGUUGGCUGCAGGACCACUCUAUAUGGCUCUCCAUUCUCCUUGAAACGGGAGAUACCUAAGGAAUAUUCUUCUCUUGGUGACUGGCAGGAGUGCAAGAGAACCAAACUGAACCAUUCAAAUCAAAAGAACAAAACAUCUUCCUUGAAUUCUCUGAAGUAUCAAGUGUCAUCUACCCUAAACAGCUUCUUCUAUGAGGCAGCCUUGCUGAGAGAAUGCUUUUAGGGGUCAAGGACACUUGCCUAUUUCCAGUCCUCUGGUAUGUCUCCCAUUCUCAAUAUGAAGUAACGAGAGCUUGGAACAAGAUGGUAACUAUGAACACGGAAAGAAAGAAAUGGCAAUGAACAAUAAUCACAUGAGCAUCAGCCUUGCUCAUGCAGGAGGAAGAAGAAAGGAUAAGAAGGACACACAGAUGGUUGCAAAGCACGGACCCUGACAGCUUUCUGGGAUAAGGAGACUGAUGUAUUUAUUUGGCAAAAACCUGCUGAUAGCUUUGGUCUCUGGAGACAAAGGGAUGUUAUUCCAAGCAGAGGCCAGAGGAGCAGCAUGAACAUCAG